AUUGAACGCUGGCGGCAUGCCUUACACAUGCAAGUCGAACGGCAGCGCGGGACCAAUCCUGGCUGCGCGUGGCGAACGGGUGUGUAAUACAUCGGAACGUGCCCAACCGUGGGGGAUAACGCAUCGAAAGCUGUGCUACUACUGCCUACGAUCUACUGCUGAAACCAGGGGAUCGCUAGACCUUUCCCGCAUGUGGCGGCCGAUGGCAGAUUUGUUAGCUGGUUAGGUAAAGGCUCACCAAGCCUGCGAUCUGUAGCUGGUCUGAGAGGACGACCAGCCACACUGGAAGUGAGACACGGCCCAGACUCCUAAGGGAGGCAGCAGUGGGGUAUGUUGGACAACGGGCGAAAGCCUGAUCCAGCCAUGCCGCGUGUAGGAUAAAAACCUUCGGGUUGUAAACUGCUUUUGUGCGGAACGAAACGGUCUUUUCUGAUAAAGAGGGUUAAUGACGGUAACGUAAAAAUAAGCACCGGCUAACUACGUG
This 484-nucleotide ribosomal RNA is filed under the name uncultured bacterium. Its description in RNAcentral is "partial 16S ribosomal RNA". It matches the Rfam family "Bacterial small subunit ribosomal RNA", at positions 30 to 507 of the family's 1533-position model. The record is from RNAcentral.